RNAcentral lists this ribosomal RNA (277 nucleotides) under uncultured bacterium. RNAcentral's name for it is "partial 16S ribosomal RNA". It matches the Rfam family "Bacterial small subunit ribosomal RNA", at positions 524 to 776 of the family's 1533-position model. The record is from RNAcentral.
UACGGAGGGUGCGAGCGUUGUCCGGAAUCAUUGGGCGUAAAGGGCGCGUAGGUGGCUUCUUAAGCGUGCGGUGAAAGCCUGGGGCUCAACCCCGGGUCGGCCGUGCGAACUGGGGGGCUGGAGCACUGUAGAGGCAGGCGGAAUUCCGGGUGUGAGCGGUGGAAUGCGUAGAGAGUCCGGAAGAACACCGGUGGCGAAGGCGGCCCGCUGGGCAGGAAGGUGAGGAGCAAUCCUCGCCGGCUGACGCUGAGGCGCGACAGCGUGGGGAGCAAACAGG